This 69-nucleotide transfer RNA is filed under the name Hoplosternum littorale (atipa). Its description in RNAcentral is "tRNA-His". It matches the Rfam family "tRNA". Rfam says of the family: Transfer RNA (tRNA) molecules are approximately 80 nucleotides in length. The record is from RNAcentral. Lineage: Eukaryota; Metazoa; Chordata; Actinopteri; Siluriformes; Callichthyidae.
UAGAUAUAGUUUUAAUUAAAACAUUAGAUUGUGGUUCUAAAAAUGGAGGUUAGACCCCUCUUAUCCACC